AGCAUUCUGUACCAGGCACGGCAUACUGGGAGUUGUAGUGGACACUGCAAGUCCCAGUAUGCCACCCCCCGCUGUUUUUCUAGGCACGCUCUCUUGUAAGGCGGUCCCCGAAAACUGACAACCCAGCAUCAUCAUACCGUCGCCGGCAGAGGCCACUGCUGCGGUUGCACGUCCUGUCGCUAGGUGGCGCCCUGUCUGCAUGAUCCCCCUGACUGCUGUCUGCUGCGCGGCCGCUAGAUGUCGCCUUGAUGUUGUUGGUAGCAUUGCCGGGCGGUAGGCUGGCGGUAGAAGAUGGCGGUGCGGAAGAAGGACGGCGGUCCGAACGUGAAAUAUUAUGAGUCCUCUGACACUAUUUCUCAGUUCGACAACGUGCGGCUAUGGCUGGGGAAAAACUACAAGAAGUACAUUCAGGCCGAGCCGCCUACUAACAAGUCUCUGUCCAGUCUGGUGGUCCAGCUCUUGCAGUUCCAAGAAGAGGUCUUUGGAAAACAUGUCAGCAAUGCCCCGCUCACUAAAUUGCCGAUGAAAUGCUUUCUGGAUUUCAAGGUUGGGGGAGCGCUAUGUCAUAUACUUGCUGCUGCUUAUAAGUUCAAGAGUGACCAGGGAUGGCGUAGGUUUGAUUUCCAGAACCCAUCACGAAUGGAUCGUAAUGUGGAAAUGUUUAUGAACAUAGAAAAGUCCCUUGUGCAGAAUAACUGUUUAUCCAGACCAAAUAUAUACCUUCAUGCAGACAUCGAUUCAAAGCUGCAGAGCAAGCUUAAAGACAUUGUGAAAAGACACCAGGGUACAGUGACAGAGGACAAAGGUCACUCUUCCCAUGUUGUCAUCCCAGUUCCCGGCACUUUGGAGGAAGAGGAAUGGGUGCGACCCAUAAUGAAGAGAGACAAGCAGGUACUUCUUCACUGGGGUUAUUAUCCUGAUAGUUAUGACACCUGGAUCCCUGCCAGUGAGGUAGAAGCUCCAGUUGAGGAUACACCAACUCCAGAAAAACCACGCAAGGUGCAUGCCAAAUGGAUUCUGGACACUGAUUUAUUUAACGAGUGGAUGAAUGAAGAGGAUUAUGAGGUGAAUGAUGAGCGGAGUCCUGUCGCACGUCGUAAGAAGAUCUCAGCCAAGACAUUAACAGAUGAAGUAAGCAGCCCUGAUUCGGAUCGCAGAGACAAGAAGGGACCUAAUUACAAGAAGAGGAAACGCUCUCCUUCACCUCCCCCAAGUGCAGAGGCAAAGAAGAAGAAUGUGAAGAAAGGGCCAACUACUCCUUAUAGUAAAUCGAAGAGGGGCCACCGGGAGGAAGAACAAGAGGAUCUGACAAAGGACAUGGAUGAACCAUCACCUGUGCCUAAUGUAGAAGAAGUUACACUACCCAAAACAGUUAACACCAAGAAAGAUUCUGAAUCGGCCCCAGUGAAAGGAGGCACUGUCACUGAUCUGGAUGAACAAGAAGAUGAGAGCAUGGAAGCUGUGACAAAGGAAGAAGAUGAAAAUUCUUCAGUGAUAAAAAGUGAACAAGUGAAGACCUCUGAUCUUCAUGAAGACAAUGUAACUGAGCAAACACAUCACAUUAUCAUCCCCAGUUAUGCAGCAUGGUUUGACUAUAAUAGUGUACAUGCCAUUGAACGUCGAGCACUGCCAGAGUUCUUUAACGGCAAGAACAAGUCAAAAACGCCAGAGAUCUACUUGGCGUAUCGAAACUUCAUGAUUGACACCUAUCGACUCAACCCUCAGGAAUACCUCACUUCCACAGCAUGCCGACGCAACUUGGCAGGGGAUGUCUGUGCUAUCAUGAGGGUUCAUGCCUUCUUAGAACAGUGGGGUCUGAUUAACUAUCAGGUGGAUGCUGAGAGUCGCCCUACACCAAUGGGACCACCUCCCACUUCACAUUUUCAUGUCUUAGCUGAUACACCAUCAGGAUUGGUACCACUGCAGCCCAAAACACCUCAGACCUCUGCCUCACAACAGAUGCUAAAUUUCCCUGAUAAAAGUAAAGAGAAACCAAGUGACCUGCAGAACUUUGGCCUGAGGACUGAUAUGUACAGCAAGAAGAACACAACCUCCAAGAGUAAAUCUGCUGCAAGCGCAACACGGGAAUGGACAGAACAGGAGACUCUACUACUGCUUGAGGCACUUGAAAUGUAUAAAGAUGACUGGAACAAGGUCUCUGAACAUGUUGGUAGUCGUACUCAAGAUGAAUGUAUCUUGCACUUCCUGCGGCUUCCCAUUGAGGAUCCCUAUUUAGAAGACUCUGAAGCCUCCCUUGGCCCUCUUGCCUACCAACCUAUACCGUUUAGCCAAUCCGGCAACCCUGUAAUGAGCACUGUAGCAUUUCUGGCGUCUGUGGUGGACCCUCGUGUAGCCUCUGCUGCAGCGAAGUCAGCUCUUGAUGAAUUUUCCAAGAUGAAGGAGGAAGUUCCCACAGCGUUAGUAGAAGCUCAUGUCCGCAAGGUGGAAGACGCUGCCAAAAUGACGGGUAAAGCUGACCCCAGCUAUGGGCUUGAGAGCAGUGGUAUAGCUGGCACUACCUAUGAAGAGAACGAGCGGAUAGAUUGUCCCAAAAGGAACACCCAUGAAACCCAUGAGGAAAAUAAUACAGAGGAGCCCCCUUUGGAAGCACAGACCACAGAAGAAAAAAAAGAACCAAAGGAUUCGCCCUGUGAAGCUGGCUCAGAGGAUGACUUGAAGGAACGCGUGAGUGAUGCUGUAAAAAAGGAGGAUGAGAAGAACAAAGAUGUAGACAGCGAUAAAGACUCAGAGAAGAGUGAUGUUGAUAUGGCUGAUGGAGAGAAAGUUUCAGAUGGUAAAGAAGGAUCCGAAGAGACAGAUAAGGAAGACAGUGAUGGGAAGAACAAGGUAGAGAGAGACAUCGGAGAGGGCAACUUGUCUACAGCUGCUGCUGCUGCAUUGGCAGCUGCUGCUGUAAAGGCUAAGCAUUUGGCAGCUGUGGAGGAGCGAAAGAUCAAGUCCCUGGUGGCUCUGCUGGUAGAGACUCAGAUGAAGAAGCUAGAAAUCAAACUGAGGCACUUUGAGGAGCUGGAGACCAUCAUGGACAGAGAAAGGGAAGCGUUGGAAUACCAGCGCCAGCAGCUUCUAGCAGACAGACAGUCCUUCCACAUGGAACAGUUAAAAUAUGCAGAGCUGAGAGCCCGUCAGCAGCACUUCCAGCACAUUCAGAAUCAACACCAGCAACAACAUCAGACCCCACCAGGCAGUCAACCUGUGCCACCCACUGCUCAUUCCAUUCCAGUGCCACAGGUGUCUCUCACACCUGCGCCUGGGAGCACAGCAGGGAAUUCGGAAGGUAUUGGUCAGCCGAAUGCACCCUCAGCACAGCCACCAGUGAACAGUCAGCAGCAGGGAGGAACCCAGCCCAGCCCCGCACAUGGUUCUGGUGCAUACACAGGUCAACCAGCACCUAACCCAAUGAUCCCAUCAGCAGUACCAGUACCAGUUCCAGCCCAGCCACCGGUGCCCGGUAAUCAGCAUCCCAGCAUGCAUUUACCUGUCCCAUUUAAUCUGGGUAGUGACUUAGUUGACUCUGUUCAUCACAACCCACCACCAACUAACCCCUACACAAUUCAUCAUCCCAUGCAUGGCACCUUCCCUCCUGCAGCAUGUCGGGUUGGUGGGGCAUCUCCACUUGCACAUAACCCUGCCAUUACCAUGUCUCCAGCUCCUCCUAACUUGCCAUCCUCCCUGGGUUCAGCUGCUUCUCAUAGCCCCGCGAUCGUAGCCGCAAUGCAGGGAGGGGCUGCCGUCACUUCCAGUCCUGUGCCAGGGACAGAUCUAGGGAUUUAAGAAAUCAGCCUUGUGUCUUAAUUUCUCAUGACAUAUAAACUUUAAAUUGGUUACAAAACUUCAGUGGUCAAGAUUUAGUCUGAGCCGUGAUUCAGCGGCAGAUCCUGUAAUACACUAGACUCUGCGACAUCUCUUCCUCCAGAAUCUAUUGGAAACACGGUUCCCCCAGCCCAACAGUAAUAGUGGGACAUUUAUUUUUUGAGGGGAAACGGUGAAAUGGGGAAGUAGUGAAAAGUUUGUGGAAAUCUCUUUCUACCACUGGUUCCUGUGUCUCUGAUCUCUCCAGGAACACGAUGCCCCUUUCGUGUCAUGACCAUAAUUUGUUUUAUUUGAUGACUGACCCGCACAACAGUGGUUUGCUGUUCAGGGAUAAACCGCAGAAAAGUAUUCCCCAAGGGACCUGUAAUGGAGGAGGAUAGAACUUGGCAGGAUCCACUGUUACAGCUUUCUCUAUUUGAGGGGUACAGAAACGUAGUACACAGCAAAACUACACUGUGUGUAUUUGCAAUAAAUGGCGACAGAUGAACGAGCUUGUUACGAUUACAAUCUAAGGACUGGAUGGGAACUGAUCUGGUUUACACAGGAGUCUGUUCACGUUAUACAAGAACCACAGCCACUAACCUGAGAGAGGAUGCUCACCUAUUCUAUUCCUAAUGGAACCACGUUAUGUACUGUGCAGAGUUCAAUCCUCCCUCACAGAGAAAGAGUAUUGGAGAAGAAAACUAUGCCGAGACAUUGAGCACAUGUUGCUGUAUUGGGGAUUUCCAGUCCUGGAUUAUUGGCAGCACUGAUUAUUACAUUUCUGUUAGAGGUCUGGGAAAUUAAUCUAUUGGUAUUUCACAUGUCGGUGACUCAUGGUUGUUAUUCCAGGACCAGAGCCCUUUGUUUUUGCAUCUUUGCCUCUGCUGUAAGUGGUGCAGAGGGAGCAGAUCUUUCCAGCAAUGGUAUCUAGGACAGUGGUCAUUGCACUUGCACAGACAGGGUUCAAGGUCAUUUCAUUGUUUCAUAUCUGUUGGAUGCUAUACGAGUUACAUAUCCCUAUGAUUUCUUUGUCCAAGCUGGAGAAAGGUGCAUAGCUGUGUGCUCCUCAGAAGCACUGGGCUGUUGUGUCUGUAGGAGGAGAGGCUGAGAAGUGUGUACACCUGAAGGAUGGCAAUUGAGAAUCUCUGUGUCUCAUUCUAUAGUGCACUAUUUGACCUUUGGUAAAAUAUUUUAACUUUUAACUAUAUAAGCUUUUUUUUUAUUUUAAAUCAUUGUAUUUUAAAUAUUUUUGAGCAGGGAUGGGUGAUGGGGGGGUUCGGAGUGCACUUUAAUGAGAGGAGGCUCGCAGCAUUUUAUGUUUGUUUUUACUGCAAGGUCUUCUAGCUAGAGAGGGAAUUUUUGGGUGAUUUGCUGGCACAUUUAAGGGAGACGCCUCUCAUCUUUUUCUUGGGUGAGUAACCUCCUUAGAACUCUUGAUUGCCACCUGGUUGUGCUGCCCCAUCGGUCUGUUCAUGUUACCUGUACCUUAUCCUGUGUCUGUGUAUCUUACAAUUCCUCAGUCAUGGGGUAUUAAAAUCUUAAAAUUUAUAAA
Molecule: RNA transcript, 5365 nt
Organism: Pseudophryne corroboree (corroboree frog)
Lineage: Eukaryota; Metazoa; Chordata; Amphibia; Anura; Myobatrachidae
Gene: SMARCC2
Gene name: SWI/SNF related, matrix associated, actin dependent regulator of chromatin subfamily c member 2
Exons: 30
Source: RefSeq, a predicted model, not a curated record